UACAUGAGCGACGAGCAUUAUCCGCAAUUAUUGGGUGUAGAGGAUGCGUAGGCGGAUCGUACAGUUUGUCUUAACUAUAAAAGCUAUGGUUUGGAUUUUACAAAUACUAUGAUCUCGAGUGUAAUAGGAGUGAAUAUAAUCUAUAAACGAGCGAUAAAAUGCGAAAAAUUUAUAGUUUAUACCAAUGGUGAAAACAAUUUACUAUAUUAUUCUGACGCUGAGGCAUGAAAGUAUAGUUAUCGAACAGG
This 248-nucleotide ribosomal RNA is filed under the name uncultured bacterium. RNAcentral describes it as "partial 16S ribosomal RNA". It matches the Rfam family "Bacterial small subunit ribosomal RNA", at positions 524 to 776 of the family's 1533-position model. The record is from RNAcentral.